UACGUAGGAGGCGAGCGUUGUCCGGAAUUACUGGGCGUAAAGAGCGCGUAGGCGGCGCGAUACGUCCGAUGUGAAAGCCCCCGGCUCAACUGGGGAGGGUCAUCGGUAACGGUCGUGCUAUGAGUGCAGGAGAGGGAAGUGGAACUCUUGGUGUAGCAGUGAAAUGCGUAGAUAUCAAGAGGAACACCAGUGGCGAAGGCGAGUCCCUGGACAACUUCUGACGCUGAGGCACGAAAGCUAGGGGAGCAAACAGG
RNAcentral lists this ribosomal RNA (254 nucleotides) under uncultured bacterium. Its description in RNAcentral is "partial 16S ribosomal RNA". It matches the Rfam family "Bacterial small subunit ribosomal RNA", at positions 524 to 776 of the family's 1533-position model. The record is from RNAcentral.